ACGAACGCUGGCGGCGUGCUUAACACAUGCAAGUCGAACGGGAUUUAGUAAACGGAAGCCUCGGUGGAAGAUUACUAAUGAGAGUGGCGAACGGGUGAGUAACGCGUGAGCAACCUGCCUAUGACAGUGGGAUAGCCUCGGGAAACCGGGAUUAAUACCGCAUAAAAUCGUAGAAACACAUGUUUCAACGGUCAAAGAUUUAUCGGUCAUAGAUGGGCUCGCGUCUGAUUAGCUAGUUGGUGAGAUAACAGCCCACCAAGGCGACGAUCAGUAGCCGGUCUGAGAGGAUGAACGGCCACAUUUGAGCUGGGACACGGUCCAAACUCCUACGGGAGGCAGCAGUGGGGAAUAUUGCACAAUGGGGGAAACCCUGAUGCAGCGACGCCGCGUGAACGAAGAAGGUAUUCGUAUCGUAAAGUUCUGUCCUAUGGGAAGAUAAUGACAGUACCAUAGAAGAAAGCUCCGGCUAAAUACGUG
This 477-nucleotide ribosomal RNA is filed under the name uncultured bacterium. Its description in RNAcentral is "partial 16S ribosomal RNA". It matches the Rfam family "Bacterial small subunit ribosomal RNA", at positions 29 to 507 of the family's 1533-position model. The record is from RNAcentral.